GACGAACGCUGGCGGCGUGCUUAACACAUGCAAGUCGAACGGAAAGGCCCUGCUUUUGUGGGGUGCUCGAGUGGCGAACGGGUGAGUAACACGUGAGUAACCUGCCCUUGACUUUGGGAUAACUUCAGGAAACUGGGGCUAAUACCGGAUAGGAGCUCCUGCUGCAUGGUGGGGGUUGGAAAGUUUCGGCGGUUGGGGAUGGACUCGCGGCUUAUCAGUUUGUUGGUGGGGUAGUGGCUUACCAAGGCUUUGACGGGUAGCCGGCCUGAGAGGGUGACCGGCCACAUUGGGACUGAGAUACGGCCCAGACUCCUACGGGAGGCAGCAGUGGGGAAUAUUGCACAAUGGGCGGAAGCCUGAUGCAGCAACGCCGCGUGCGGGAUGACGGCCUUCGGGUUGUAAACCGCUUUCGCCUGUGACGAAGCGUGAGUGGCGGUAAUGGGUAAAGAAGCACCGGCUAACUACGUG
RNAcentral lists this ribosomal RNA (468 nucleotides) under uncultured bacterium. RNAcentral's name for it is "partial 16S ribosomal RNA". It matches the Rfam family "Bacterial small subunit ribosomal RNA", at positions 28 to 507 of the family's 1533-position model. The record is from RNAcentral.